AGAGUGUGCAGAACCAUAUAUGAUUUUCAAAGAAGCAGAUGCCACCAAGAAUAAAGAAAAACUGGAGAAACUGAAGAGUCAAGCAGAUCAGUUUUGCCAAAGACUUGGGAAAUAUCGCAUGCCUUUUGCUUGGACUGCAAUCCAUUUAAUGAAUAUUGUUAGCAGUGCUGGGAGUUUGGAAAGAGAUUCUACAGAAGUAGAAAUCAGUACUGGAGAACGAAAAGGGUCUUGGUCAGAGAGGAGGAAUUCUAGUAUUGUUGGCAGACGAUCACUUGAAAGGACAACAAGUGGAGAUGAUGCUUGUAACUUGACGAGCUUUCGACCAGCUACUCUCACAGUGACAAAUUUUUUUAAGCAGGUAUUGUUCUGUCAUGUAGGAAUUUUGGGGAGAUGUUUGUGCAUAAAUUUUUUUAAUUUCAGAAAGGUAGUGAUUGUACUAUACAUGUAUGGGAGGGUGAUUCCAAGAAACUUAAAAACUUUAAGAAUAAAAAUAAUAAAAGCAACUAUAAGAAUGAGAAA
This 519-nucleotide long non-coding RNA is filed under the name Homo sapiens (human). RNAcentral describes it as "non-protein coding lnc-KANK4-3:1". The record is from RNAcentral. Lineage: Eukaryota; Metazoa; Chordata; Mammalia; Primates; Hominidae.